Long non-coding RNA from Vespula vulgaris, 1471 nucleotides. RefSeq lists it as uncharacterized. The record is from RefSeq and is a predicted model, not a curated record. NCBI's taxonomy places the organism in Eukaryota, Metazoa, Arthropoda, Insecta, Hymenoptera, Vespidae. The transcript has 7 exons.
UGAUAUUCUCGUCGGACUAUGAAAAAUAAUAGGGGGAAAUGAAUCAUGCUCUCAACUGGGUUGCGCCUGCAUUGUGUCUGGGAGUCGGGGUAGAAGCUUUUCGAUGAGAGUUGGACCAGUGAAAGUUAUUCCGUUUGGAGACACUAAUGUGACCAGUGCUAACAAAUUCCAAAAGAUGAAAGACGAUUUAAAAAGGAAGACGAGCGUGCAAACGGAAGUAGCUGAGAAAUGCCAAAAAAUUAGAAAGUGACGUUAAGAAUCGCCGACGUUCUACACUUCAUGGCCUUGACGACUGUGUUAACGGUGUCUCACAAGAUCGCGCCGAUGGGAGAAACUAUUAAAAGUUUUCAUAAAACUAAAAUACGGAAUUAACACGAAAUAAAAAUGUCUGAAGAGCACUGAAAGUAUCUUUCCUUGACUACCGUGAGCGUGCUUGAUUGAUCCACAUGGACGUAACGAGAUGACCGGAAUGCUCACAUUGUUUGAACACAUAUGUAAUAUAAGCAAGAACGAGCAUGGAUUCCUAGCAAUGCCACGGGACCAGGAUUAAGCAAAAUUGGUUCCUUGACAGCAUCAUUUGCAUCACUUACAUGAUACCAUCUAUAUUGGAAACGUUUGAUACAGCUUUGUGCAACGUCCAUUGAUAACGGAUUGGUCAAUAAAUGUCAAAAAUUUCUUUAAGAGCCGGAGUGGCAUCAUUAUCUCUCUUGUAAUAAAAUAUUCAAAUGUAUCUUCUUCGUUCUUCGAUUCGACCUUGCUCGAAAUACUUGAUGGAAGCUCGCCUUUCGAUAAUCGCGCGGCACUAUUGCCAAAUUAAUUGUUUAACAUUAACAAAAUUAUAUCGGAUGUCAUUAUUCAUUAGCCGGUAGAAUGCUAGGAAACAUUUGAAUAAGGAAUGUGACGCAAAAGGGUAGAAGAACUAGGUUUCAACAAUUAUUGUCAGUUAUAAUCUUACAUAACUGGGAUGGUUGCUUUUGUACUGAUUUCUACAGUUAAUUUUAUUAUUGUUUUUUCUCGCGACUAUUAUUUAUGUAUAUAAUUUAAGAUUAGAAACUAGUGCGAUUUAAUGUUAAUAUUGUCAUCUGCCGACAAGUUGAAAGAUAUGGAAGAUAAGUGUAACUCCGGGGAAUCGCACGGUGCAAAAACCAAAGAACCGGACUUUCUUUUAACAAGCAACACUUACAAAUCUAUUAAAGAAGACAGUUAUUAAACAAGGAAGAAAAAGAAGCUAUAGGCGAAGCGUAUAUACGCACCGAAAGAAUAAAAAAAUGAUGAUGCUGUGACAGAUGAAUAUCUAGAAAGUAGAGCGUCUUUUGUAGGAUCAAGUCUUUCUGUAACAAUUAGAGUAUCUAAGCCUCCAAAAAUUAUCGAUGUUGCCGACGGUUUGACAAACUUGGUUCUUCAAAAACGACUAGUCUACCCUAUGCAGGAUUUAUAUGUCAUUCUAUAAUCCUUCUGGAAACACCGUCCG